This is a non-coding RNA of Pavlovales sp. CCMP2436, 73 nucleotides long. The record is from the annotation of a GenBank genome assembly. NCBI's taxonomy places the organism in Eukaryota, Haptophyta, Pavlovophyceae, Pavlovales.
UCCCGGUUAGCUCAGUCGGUAGAGCGUGCGACUCUUAAUCGCACGGUCGAGGGUUCGAGCCCCUCAUUGGGAA